UGGGCCACAGAGCAGGACUCUGUCUCAAAAAACAAACAAACAAACAAACAAAAAAACAGUUAUCGGGACAGGCGUCUAAACUUGAAUGAAUUGGAAUACAUUUCAUUUGUGCCAAGCACCAAUCACAUGGAUGAAGACAGGAAUUUCAGUAUCAUUGGCUUCUGUCCUUUAGGAACUACCAGCUUUAUUUUGCUUUGGUCUGUAUCUUCCUCAGCUAACAAACGUAGGGGGUGGGAAAUACAGUUCAUUUAUGUUACUACAAAUGAAAGGUAUGACGGGUCUCCUCAGAUCACCGUCAUGCAAAAUGCUGACCAAAAUCCCGUAUGAGGACUUCGGAACAGCUGGGCUCGGCUCUCUGGGCCACGAUUUGCUGGUCCGUGAAAUGAGAGGGAGGCUGGAUCACUAGCUCUUUAACGGUCUUCCAGCUCUAGAUUCUUAUGAGUCUAUGACUUUUACAAAGUGGCAGAUGAUUUCUGUUAGGUGCCAGUUAAAUUACUUUAACACGGCAGUUAGUGAUGUAGGAACUGGUGUAGAGUGAGCACAGCUUUUGUUUUUUUCAAUUUGGAUUCAUUCAUGAUGGAGUCUGAAGAUGUUUCUCAGGUUUAAAAGAUAGUUUUCCUUCAGUGGUAGUAUCAGUUACUAGGCUGUGACCUUUUGGAAUGAAUGUAGCCUCUAACAUCUUCCUAUAUGUGGUUAAGAAAAGGGACUUAGCCAACAGGACGGUGGCAGACAGCCUCAAGAAAAGCCUCAAACUUCGUCCACUUAGGGCAACAUCUCUAACUCCCAAAUUCACUGCUGACAUACUCAGUGAAAGGAGAAAGCCACUUCAGGUUGGUCCCAAGAUAUCUGACAAAUGCGACGCUCUCUUUAUUUUCACAUUCGCUUGUGGACAAAACCAGCUACCUGUGAACUCUCCAUUCUCUCCAGGAAAACGACUCUGUGCAGUCCACUGUCUCUUUCCUAAGCAUUUAUCACAGUGACCUCCAGCGCCAGUGUUUCCAGAGAGUGACAGGUGGUUACAAGUCCUCCCUGCCUUCCCUCCUUAAAGGGAGCAGCAGCUUGGCAGUGAGUAUGCUGGCACCUUUGAGUGGUGGGAACCAGUCUCCCCUACACAAGAAGCUGUAAGGCAUCUUUAUGAGUUGAAAACAAAACAACCGAUGUUUCAUGUAUAGAAAAUAGCAAGUAAAGGCCGGGCGCAGUGGCUCAUGCCUGUCAUCCCAGCACUUUGGGAGGCCGAGGCGGGCGGAUCACGAGGUCAGGAGAUCGAAACCAUCCUGGCUAACAUGGUGAAACCCGGCCUCUACUAAAAAUACAAAAAGUUAGCCGGGCGUGGUGGCGGGCGCCUGUAGUCCCAGCUACUCGGGAGGCUGAGGCAGGAGAAUGGCAUGAACCCGGGAGGCGAAGGUUGCAGUGAGCCAAGAUCGUGCCACUGCACUCCAUCCUGGGCAACAGAGCAAGACUCUGUCUCAAAUAAAAAAAAAAAAAAGAAAAAAGAAAAUAGCAAGUAAGAUCAGUUUCAACACCAUGCUCAGUGAAGUCACCAGACUGUUUAUGUUGAAUCACCAUAAAGCUAACAAGCAGAAACAUGAACCUUAGCUUUUCAAGCGAUCAAACCCCUGUCGGCAAAUGGUAAGGCCAAAUGAAAAACACGGGGCCUGGUUUACACAAACUUCCCCUCAUCCUUCAAAAGUCUCGAAUCAGCUGUUUCCUUCUCUAAGAAGGUUUCCAGGUCUGCCUUUGGGUUUGGGUAACGAGGCUGUUGUUUUCUCAUUUGUAUGUUUCUCCACCAGACUGUUAGGUCCUAGAAACAAGGACUGUGUCUUUUCAUUUUGUACCCCAAGUGAGGCUGGCACAUUCUGAGGGUGCAAUACAUGUUUCAUACUUUCCAAAGCUCAUACCUGUUGAGUACUUACUGUUUGCUAGGUCCUAUGUCAGAUGUUUUGUCUACAUUGUCUCAUUAAAUCCUCACAACAGAUGUUAUUCUCACUCUGUGUGUGUGUGUGUGUGUGUGUGUUUGUGUGUAUCAGCAAAAUGAGACUCAGACCAGAGCAAUUUAAAAAUCGCCCCAGGUCACACUGCUGGUGGCGAGCUGGGAUUCAAACUCAGUACUUUCUGCCUUUAGUUCCAUGUGCCGGAUGACUAUACUGCCUUCAAGCCUGAUAAGCAAGGAGGGAAUAAUAAUCUUUCACAAUAUAGUUUCUGAUGAAUACUGUUCCUAAUUAUUUACUCAUAAAUUUGUAUGGUGAAUUGAUGGGCUCUGAUGCUGCCAUGAACAGUAUUCUCUGUUUAUAUGUAACUUUACAAAUUUUCAAAGCACUUUCACGUGUAGUAGCUCACCUGGGUCUCAAAAUAACCCAGUGAGGUUGGCUAAACCUGUUAUUUCCAUGUUACACAUGAAGAAAGCGAAGUGCAGGAUGGGCCGCUGACUCACCACCCUGUGAAGGGACAAGGCUCAGGUUAGAACCUGUUCCAGGGUAAUUUCCACUACUCCAGGCUGUGGGGCUGGGUUUCACCAGUUUGUCAUUACACUGCUUGUGUGGGUUUCCAGAGUGAAAUUUGGGCUACUUAAUGCCAACGUAAAACUCACUUACCAAAUGUAGACUGUCGCCCCCUUGAACAGAGAAUUUAUAAAGCUCCCCAUUCUAAAGGGCUACGGAGGGAUUUUUCUGCCAUGAAAGCAUGUGGGCCUGCCUUUCCAUCUCCUCUCCCCCAUUCCUCUGGACCCCACUCGCUAUCAUUAAGGAAUAGGACACAGGGACUCUCCCCAUAUCUGUUUCCUGGUUUCUUCAGCCUUAAAUGGAAAAUACCGUAUUUACUUGUAAAAUACUUUGUGAGUUCUCAAGUGAAUGCCAUUAAGAUAUGUGAUGUGUGGGCAACUACCCUUGAUCGAGGACCUUUUCCUCCUAUCUGGGAAAAUCAUGUACAUGAGAAAGAAGUGAGAUCACACGUGAAGCGCCUCCACGUAGUGAGCUCCCGAACCAAAAGGGAACUUAGGGGUCUCUGUCCGCUCAUCCACUUUAAAAAUCCUAACACAGCCUGGGCACAGCAGCUCACAACGGUAAUCCCAGCACUUUGGGAUCCGUCCAAGGUGGGUGGAUCACUUGAGCCCAGGAGUUGGAGACCAGCCUGGACAACAUGGCAAAACCCUGUCUCUCAAAAAAAAAAAAAAAAAAAGCCAGAUGGGUGGAACCCACCCCAGUAACUGUAGUCCCAGUUACGCAGGAGGCCGAGAUGGGAGGACUGCUUGAGCCUGGGAGACAGAGGUUGCAAUGAUCCCAGAUUGUGCCACUGUACUGCAGUCUGGGCGACAGAGCAAGAACCUGUCUCAAAUAAAUAAAUAAAUACCCUAACAGAGAAAAUGGACAUCUGUUCUGAAGUAAAAGUUACUUUGUGUAGACCCAUACUUCAUUUCCACAGUAGGGACCAUUGAAGCAGAGAGAGGGCAGGAAGGACAAAAGGAGAAUGAAGAAAUAGGAAGAGACAUAGAAAGAUACGGCACAGGGGGUGGGCACGUGGGCACGGUGGCUCCUGCCUAUUAUCCCAGCACUUUAGGAGGCCGAGGCGGGA
This 3567-nucleotide long non-coding RNA is filed under the name Homo sapiens (human). Its description in RNAcentral is "non-protein coding lnc-VPS53-2:1". Lineage: Eukaryota; Metazoa; Chordata; Mammalia; Primates; Hominidae. The record is from RNAcentral.